This 253-nucleotide ribosomal RNA is filed under the name uncultured bacterium. RNAcentral's name for it is "partial 16S ribosomal RNA". It matches the Rfam family "Bacterial small subunit ribosomal RNA", at positions 524 to 776 of the family's 1533-position model. The record is from RNAcentral.
UACGUAGGGUGCAAGCGUUAAUCGGAAUUACUGGGCGUAAAGCGUGCGCAGGCGGUUUUGUAAGUCUGACGUGAAAUCCCCGGGCUUAACCUGGGAAUUGCGUUGGAGACUGCAAGGCUAGAAUCUGGCAGAGGGGGGUAGAAUUCCACGUGUAGCAGUGAAAUGCGUAGAGAUGUGGAGGAACACCGAUGGCGAAGGCAGCCCCCUGGGCCUGCACUGACGCUCAUGCACGAAAGCGUGGGGAGCAAACAGG